Nothobranchius furzeri (turquoise killifish) is the source of this 836-nucleotide long non-coding RNA. RefSeq lists it as uncharacterized. The record is from RefSeq and is a predicted model, not a curated record. Lineage: Eukaryota; Metazoa; Chordata; Actinopteri; Cyprinodontiformes; Nothobranchiidae.
UGUGUGUGUGUGUGUGUGUGUGUGUGUGUGUGUGUGUGUGUGUGUGUGUGUGUGUGUGUGUGUGUGUGUGUGUGUGUGUCCAUUCCCCUUUCCUGUUUAUAUAUAAGUACAUUGCUGUGUGUGUGUGUUAGUCUUUCCUGCAGCCUUUAGGUUUAGUUUUGGUGUCUUAGUUUCUUAGGGUUAUUUGGCCCUCUGUUUCUGUUUCCCAUUUUGAUUAUUAGGUUCACCUGUCUUCCCUCCAGCUCUCACUUCACACACCUGCUGCCAUUUUCCCUGAUUGCUCCUCCCAGUGUAUUUAAGCCCUGUCUGUCUCUGUGUUCUUGUCGGUCCAUUAAUGUUUGUUGAUUCUGUCAGUUUAGUCCCUCUGUGUUUAACCAGAGUUUCUUGAUUCCCAGAUAAUAAUCUGCUCUUUGACCUUUGGGAUUUUUGGCUUUUUGGAUUUUGACUCCCAGUUUGGAUUACCUUGGUUUUUGGCUCACCCACAAAAUAAAGACUUUUUAUUUAAAAUCUUCAUCCCUGCCUCCGUGUCAUCCUGGGUACUGCAUUUUGGGUCCACACCACCACAUCGUGACACUAAAACCUUAUGCAGCAGCAGCUAUAAGUCAUUCACGACACUUAUUCUGACCAGGCUGGACUAGGCUUGGUUACGAGGGCCGAUUCUUCCCCGGGCCGCUCUCUGAAGCAAAGAGAUGAUGUUGGCCUCUUGGCUUAGGCUGCUGCCCCCGCGACAUGACUCCAGAUAAGCACCCGAAAAAUGGAUGGAUGGAUUUGUUGAAGCGUUUUUUUCACUAAUUUCACUGAUCCCUGUUGGGCAUCAAUAAAUGUGUAUCACGAGA